UCUUCUCGAAUCUGCGAACGGCUCCGCAUACUGGUCAUAAUCAUUAGCAGCGUCUCUCGUUCUUUACGGUUACCAAUGUCAGCAAAAAGCUCUCACGUUUCUGGAGGCCGAGGUAAAUGGAUAUCCAUGGCAAUUCUGUGGCUAAUACAUAAACUACCGACCGGUCCACCUAUAUUAGGGGGGGGCCUUUUUCCCAUCUUUUUUCCCUCUCGGGGGACCUAGAGAUGAGGGAAAGGUCCAACAAAACGAACCUAUUUGGUGGGCCGAGGAGUGUGAGGUUCAAACUGGCUUGGUAUAUCGGGACGGAACGCACAUCCUUUACCCUGCUCCGUGUCUCCCCCGCAAGGGGGGGAUCCGGGCGCACUGGGGGGGUACCUGCAUCUGCACAAUCUUGCGAACCCAUGGGUUUCUUUUUCCCCAUCUUCCUUCCCAGGAAGGAGGGGAUUAAGGUUCCUGAGGGAUCCUUGGGAGUCGGGUAUAGGCGCCUUCCUGGUGGGUCACUGUUCGAGUUUCCAACCUAUCAACUAGAAUGUGGCGUAAUGGAUUGCUAUGGUUACGACGGGUACAGAGGAUUAGGGUUCGAUCCUGGAGAGUGGGCCUGAGAGAUU
Molecule: ribosomal RNA, 608 nt
Filed under: Stemonitopsis hyperopta
Lineage: Eukaryota; Evosea; Eumycetozoa; Stemonitida; Stemonitidae
Description: partial small subunit ribosomal RNA
Rfam family: Eukaryotic small subunit ribosomal RNA
Source: RNAcentral